GACGAAGGGGGCUAGCGUUGUUCGGAAUUACUGGGCGUAAAGCGAGUGUAGGCGGUUGCCCAAGUCAGGUGGGAAAGCCUUGAGCUCAACUCAAGAAAUGCACUUGGUACUGGGUGGCUAGAGGACCGGAGAGGAUAGUGGAAUUCCCAGUGUAGUGGUGAAAUACGUAGAGAUUGGGAAGAACACCAGUGGCGAAGGCGGCUAUCUGGACGGUUACUGACGCUAAGACUCGAAAGCGUGGGGAGCAAACAGG
Molecule: ribosomal RNA, 253 nt
Filed under: uncultured bacterium
Lineage: Bacteria
Description: partial 16S ribosomal RNA
Rfam family: Bacterial small subunit ribosomal RNA
Source: RNAcentral